This 18060-nucleotide long non-coding RNA is filed under the name Nicotiana tabacum (common tobacco). RNAcentral's name for it is "long non-coding RNA (NTAB_LNC000922)". The record is from RNAcentral. Lineage: Eukaryota; Viridiplantae; Streptophyta; Magnoliopsida; Solanales; Solanaceae.
AAGAAUGCAUAUUAAACUUAUUCAAAAGCUAAACAAUCCAACAAAAGAGAUUAAAUUAAAUCCAAACAACCACAAUCAUGAAAGCUAACUGUCAAGAGGACAAUAAACUACAACUAUCAUUAUUAAUCCAUAUUAAUAUUUUUAGGAUAAGAACAGAAGAAGAAAAUAAACCUGUUAAAGCAAAAUCCCUUUGAUAAGAACAAAUCUAGUAGUCAGUUACGAAAUUUUGACCCCAAAAUUCGACCGAUAAAACAACAACAAUAAUCGACCAGGAAUUACGAACCCACGAACAGCAGCGAAUGCAACAACCUUUCAAACGAGCUCCAUUUUUUACCAGAAAUCCAAGACGAGAAGAAGAGAAUGAAUAUCUAUAUAUUUUUUGAGCUUUUAAACAAUAAUCAAAACCAUAUCAAAGAAAGAACACUCAACAUUUUAUGUGUAUCUAUCUGAAUCUGAAAACAGAGAGAAGAAAAUCAAAAUAAACUUUUCAAGACCUAGCCUUUUUCCUUCCAGAUUUUUCCGAAACCCCCACCCCCCACCCCCCUUCUGAAAAUAGCAUCUCCUUUAUAUAAGGCCUCAGGGUUCUCGAACCUUCUCCCUUUCUCCCCAAGAUAUCCCUCCAAAAAUAUCUCCCCCCGAAUCUGAAAUUUUACCCUCCUUAUAUGAAAAACGGACAAAUGGAGGGAGUGGAUCAAAUCGAAUCCAAUCCAACGCUCCCCAUUUUUCCAUGUGUUCAUCUGAAAGGUUAAAAAUCCGAAAUAAAUCAAGGAAAUGGCAUGUGGGGGCGAGGAAUUUUGUCAGAGGCAGUUAGAAUCUUGAUGGCGUGGUACAGAUGGGCCCGUGUGAGUGAACUCGCCUGAGUUUUCAGACGACUCAGGCGAGUUAGGGUUGAAUCAGUUUGGAGAAGAAGAACAAUAGACGGGCGCCGCAUAUGAGGAGUCUUGGGAUUUAGGGUUUUGAGGGAAAAAAUUAUAAAGAGGGUUUUUAUAUUAAAAGGGGAAUGAGCGGGUCAUAGGUGGGUCGGGCGUGGGUUUGGGUUGGACUAGGCGGGUAAGAGAGAAAAAAAAAGGUUGAGCUUUGCACUUGGGUCCAUUAUAUAGCAGCCCUAUUUUCUUAAUUCCUUUUCAUUUCUUUCUUCUUCUUUUUUUCAAUUUUUCUCUUUCCCUUAUUUUAAUUAAUGAAAACCUAAACCAAAAACCCCAACAAUAAUUACCUUGGAAAAAUUAAGCUGAUUAUGUACUAUAAGUUUUGUGAAAAAUAAUUACUCCUAAAUUAAAAGGGAAACUACAAAUUUAAAAUUAAAAAGCUAAAAAUGCAAAAGUAAGCCAAUUUUCGUGAUUUUCAUUUUUUAAUAAAGCGGCUAAUUUACUAAUUAACCUAAAAAUGCAAAAUAAGUUCUAAAUGCAAAUGUAAUACAUUAUUGUAUUUUUCAUGAAUUAAAUAAAAUGAACGUGCACAGACAAAUGCAAACAGUUAACAAAAAAUGCUACAAAAAUCUACGAAAUUGCAAGUAAUGGGAAAAAAUUAUUUUCUUGAAUUUAUGGGAGUAAUUCAUAUAGGGCAAAAAUCACGUGCUCACAGCUUCCCCUCUUUGCCUGGAAAUACGAAGAGUUUUCGUGCAAAGAUAAAGUGAGCGGAUACGAGCGAUUUUGCCCGUUUGAAUACUCCGUGGAAAGCUUUUUUGAAAGAUUUGACCGCACCCUGCUUCCUAGGUUGCCUAUAUAUCCUUGGCUAUAAAAGAAUAAGGUUAGUGUAGUUCGGGAAGUUUUGGUAGCUGGGACUACCAUGAAGCUGUGAUUUCACUGCUGUUACUGCUGCUACUGCUUACUGAACUCCUUAUUACACCAAGACAAAAUAAAAGAAGCUAGACUAAACUAUGAUCUAUGCAUUACAAGAAUCCUAUCUAUAUCUUCAAACUUGAUUUUGUAGUUCCUAUUGCUCUAUUGACUUGUAUUCUCCAGGUAAAGUCCCUUUGUUGUCGACUCGAAUUGUAAUCUAAGAUGCUUUCCCUUUUCUCCAGGGGGAUGCCUGAUUGAUGAACUUGAACCGUCUUCCUUCAAAUAUUGCUGCUUUCCCUUCGUUCUCCAGGUGGGGUCCUGAUUACCAAUACUUUGAGUUACUUGGUUCUCCAGGUGGUAUCUUGAUUACCGACACUUAAAUUGUUUCCCUUCCUUAAAACUGGUGUUGUUCUCCCUUGCUCUCCGGGUGGGUGCCUGAUUGCCAAAACUUUAACUGUAUUCCCUUGCUUUCCAGGUGGGCGCCUGACUGCCGGAACUUGAACUGUAUUCCCUUACUCUCCAGGUGGGCGCCUGAUUGCCGAAACUUGAAUCAUAUUCCCUUGCUCUCCAGGUGGGCGCCUAAUUGCCGAAACUUAAUUGUAUUCCCUUGCUCUCCAGGUGGACGCCUGAUUGCCGAAACUUCAACUGUAUUCCCUUACUCUCUAGGUGGGUGCCUGAUUGCCGUAACUUUAAUUGUAUUCUCUUACUCUUUAGGUGGGCGCCUGAUUGCCGAAACUUGAACUAUAUUCCCUUGCUUUCCAGGUGGGUGCCUGACUGCCUAAACUUGAACUAUACUCCCUUGCUCUCCAGGUGGGCGCCUGAUUGCCAAAACUUGAACUGUUCAUCUGAAACUGCUGCAUUUGAACCUGAUUACAACAAAACAAAAGAAAUUUUCCNNNNNNNNNNNNNNNNNNNNNNNNNUUCCCCAGUUUGGUGUUGGGCGCAUCUAUGACAGUUAAUUGAAUCAUGUCACAAAAUAUCUCUAUGAAUUUGAAAGCUAAAUCCCAUUAUCCAAGAGGGUCCUGUGAACUCCUAGUUAAAUGACAGCUUUACAUCUAAAUUAUAUCUUCUAAAGGUAUGACUCCCAUUAAACCUUGUUAUCUAAGAGAGUCUUAAAACUACAUCCCAUUAUCCAGGAGGGUCCUGAAAUUCAAAAAUCGAGUCUUAUCUUAAGAGUGACAACUUUUACGGCUGAAUUAUACUACCCUAUAACAGAACUUACGCUAAAUCUCGUUAUAUAAUAGAAAUCUUAAAGCUAAGUCCCAUUAUCCAUGAGGGUCCUGAACGCUCUUAAUUGAAUCCUAUCUCAAGCAUGAAAACUUUGAAGCCAAUUUAUAUUCCUUUAGGGUACAUUUAUGCUAGAUUUUGCUACUCACGAUUUUUUUGAAUUUUAAACUAGGUCCCAUUUUCCAGGAGGGUCCUAAGAAUUUAUGAUCAAACCUGUCUGGUGCUUGUUUUCCCUUACGGAGGGUUUUUCCAAAACAAGCAAAAUUUCCUGCCCCUGUUUCAAUCAAAGAAAAAUCUUGUCAGUUUAAAAUGUGGUGGUUAGUUUGUGACAUUCUUGCUUAAGGUGGCCUCUCCGCUGCCAUGCUCUGCUUUGACUGUCUUCCCCGGACUGGCCAAAAACCAUUUGACUUUCUAACUGACUUUCACCCACAUGACCUUGGAUAACCCGAGUGUUCUAUACCCAACUAUUGUGUUGCAUCUCUGGCCUAUCUAUCUGCACCUCUGCAUCUCCCACGAAAUUACUAAACCAUUUCACCAAUGGAAUUUCUGCUGACCCUUUAUAUCCCAUUUCACAUCAUACUAUCUCUAACAAUGUUUUGGCUGCCCUGUGCUUUUGUACAAUUUUGGAAGUUGGUAGAAAGUUUUGAAAUCCUUUCUUAUUCGCUAAACAGAACUAAUAUUGGAAACAUCUUAGAGAAAUAAACCCAGAAGAAAUGAAAUGCAAUGACUUCGAGAGUUAGGGACAAGAAAAAUCCAAAACUGGAAGACUGUCUGAAAGGGAAAAAGAAAAGAAACUUAACUGAGUGGAGCAGCCGGCACCAAUGAUCACGACAUGCAUUUCGGAUUAAUCGGCCCAGUCUAUCCAACCGAUCAACUUUCAGUUGUCGUACUUUACGCCCAAAGAUCUUCAAAACCCAAUUUCUUCACCAAAACCUUGUCCUUGUACGGCCUGCGGUGCCUCGAUGGAUUUUCACCAACAAACCUCUCUCAUUUGUUCAUCUCUCAACUCACUUUCGCCUUAAGGUGCCCGAGAAGGUUUUCACCAAUAAGACUAUCUCAUUUUGAUUUCUAUCAGCUUUCGUCGCCUUAUGGUGCCCGCGAGGGUUUUUACCAAUAAGACUCUCUCAUUUUCAUUUUCUUUGUUUGGACCGGAGAGUUGCCCCUGAUAUGAAUCGCCUCCACUUGCUCGACUUGGCAUCUCUCGAAGACUGAUCGGAAGAUCUUUCUUUGGACCGUAAUAUGGGUUUGGAUGGGGUUAGAAAGAAGGGUAUCAAAGGCUCAAAACAAUUCAAAUAGGUUCAAGAUUACAACUUUCAGAAUUAGAUUUCCCACAACAACCACAACUUCUGCCCCAGUUUCUUUGCUUGGGGACCUUUGAAGUUUUACUUUGAUGGGACCGAACUGUGAGGUUGCCUACGUAUCCUUAAAAGGAAUCAGGUCGAACGUAGUUCAUGUCAUAGGAAUUGCUCUGUUGUUGUGAUUUUUCUUUUCUCUUUCUCUUUUCUUUUCUUUUCUUUCUUCCUUUUCUCUUUUUGUUGUUUUGUUGUUAUUUCUUUCUCUUUUUUUCUUCUCUUUUUUUUUCCAAUUUUCAUCUUUUCUUUUUUCUCUUUUCCUUUACUUAUCUUUCGUGCUUAUGCUUCUGCUCUUUGCUAUUGAUUCCAAAAGAGGGGUAUGAGAGGAAAUAAAUAAGGCUCAAAGGGGGUAACAAAGGAUAGAGUGUUUAGAUAGCAGAACAAAAUGCCUUCUCAUUCCAAUUUUUAAAACAUGCCAAGUACAAACAAACACAAUUUAACCAAAGAAAUCAUACAUAAUAUCUCUUGACCGCAUCAGAAUUGAUAGCCAUUUCUACACACUUGCCUUCUAUAUCUGUUAAAUACAAAGCACUAUUGGACAACAAUCUAGUUACUAUGAACGACCCCGACCAAUUUGGGGCGAAUUUGCCUUUAGUCUCGGCCUGAUGUGGAAGGAUACGUCUCAACACUUGCUGACCCACUUCAAACUUCCCCGGAAGCACCUUCUUAUUAUAUGCUCUUGCCAUUCUCUGCUGAUACAACUGGCCAUGACACACUGCUGCCAACCUUUUCUCAUCGAUCAAACUCAAGUGUUCCAGGCGGGUUUUGACCCAUUCAUCAUCGUCAAUUUCGGCUUCUGCGACAAUCCGAAGGGAUGGGAUUUCGACCUUUGCGGGUAUCACUGAUUCAGUACCAUACACCAAUAAAUAAGGAGUUGCCCCUACUGAAGUACGAAUAGUAGUGCGAUAACCCAGCAAUGCAAAGGGCAAAUUUUCAUGCCAUUGUCUAGAACCCUCCACUAUUUUUCAAAAUAUCUUCUUUAUAUUCUUGUUGGCUGUCUCGACUGCUCCAUUCGCCUUGGGGAUAUAAGGGGAGGAAUUGUGAUGUGUAAUCUUGAACUGCUGACAUACCUGUGUUAUCAGAUGACUAUUGAGAUUAGCACCAUUAUCUGUUAUGAUCACCUUUGGGAUCCCAAACCGGCAAAUGAUAUUUGAGUGCACAAAAUCGACCACCACUUUCUUGGUCACAGACUUGAAUGUUUUAGUCUCAACCCACUUGGUGAAAUAAUCGAUGGCCACCAGAAUGAACCUGUGCCCAUUUGAUACUGCUGGCUAAACUGGCCCAAUGACAUCCAUGCCCCACACAACAAAAGGCCAUGGUGUAGAUAUUGUGUGCAAUUUAGAUGGUGGAGAAUGAAUCAAAUCUCCGUGCAUUUGGCACUGAUGACACUUGCGCACAAAACUGAUACAAUCUCGCUCCAUAGUGAGCCAAUAAUAACCUGCUCGGAGAAUCUUCUUUGUCAGCACGUACCCACUCAUAUGUGGUCUACAGACUCCAGAAUGUACUUCGGUCAUGAUAGCUUUGGCCUUUCUAGCAUCAAUGCAUCUUACCAAUCCAAGAUCCGGAGUCCUUUUGUACAAAACCCCUCCGCUGAAGAAAAAUCCGCUUGCCAACCACCGAAUUGGUCUCUUUUGAUCACCUGUGGCUUGUACUGGAUACACCCCCAUCCUGAUAUAUUCCUUGAUAUCAUGAAACCAAGGUUCACCAUCAAGUUCUUCUUUCACCACAUUAUAGUAAGCAUGCUGAUCAUGGACCUGAAUAUGCAAAGGGCCCACAUAAGCCUUAUCUGGAUGAUGUAACAUUGAUGCUAAGGUAGCCAAAGCAUCAACAACCUCGUUAUGGAUCCUUGGAAUAUGACUAAACUCUACUGAUCAAAAUCGUUGACAAAGAUCAUGCAAACAUUGCCGGUACGGUAUGAGUUUUAAAUCCCAUGUUUCCCAUUCCCCUUGGAUCAGGUGUACCAGAAGGUCCGAGUCUCCCAAGACCAAGACUUCCCGGACACCCAUGUCUGCGGCUAACCUCAAACCCAAAAUGUACGCCUCAUACUCAGCCAUAUUAUUAGUACAGUAGAAACAAAGUUGAAAUAUAACAGGGUAGUGAUGCCCUGUUUCAGAAAUAAGUACAGCCCUUAUCCCGACGCCUUUCAUGUUAGAAGCUCCAUCAAAUAAAAGUUUCCAACCUGGAUCUCCAACUAGUUCCAACUCAUCAAUAUGCAUUACCUCUUCAUCAGGGAAGUAAGUCUUCAAAGGCUCAUAUUUUUCAUCCACUGGGUUCUUAGCUAAAUGAUCGGCCAAUGCCUGGGCUUUCAUCGCAGUCCUAGUCACAUAGACGACGUCAAAUUCUGUGAGAUAUACUUUAACGGAUCUAAAUGAGAGAUGAGGUAAGUAGUGUAAGAUGACAAAUAGUGCUUCAACUUCUGUACUACCCAAGUUAGGGCGCAACAUGUCCUCUCAAGGUAAGUGUACUUAACCUCGUAAGAUGUGAACUUCUUGCUGAGAUAGUAGAUGGCUUGCUCCUUCCUACCAGUGAUGUCAUGCUGACCCAACACACAGCUAAACAAAUUGUCCAAAACUAUCAAAUACAGAAUCAAAGGUUUCCCUGGUUCUGGUGGCACCAACACAGAUGGGUUUGACAAGUACCCCUUUAUCUUAUCAAAUGCUUCUUGACACUCAUCUGUCCACUUGGCCGCAACAUCCUUCUUUAGCAGUUUGAAGAUAGGCUCACAAGUUAUGGCAAGCUGAGCAAUAAACCUGCUGAUGUAAUUUAACCUCCCUAAUAAACUCAUCACCUCAGUUUUGUUUCUUGGGGUGGCAAUUCUUGGAUAGAUUUGAUCUUUGAUGGGUCCAAUUCAAUACCUCGACGGCUGACUAUGAAUCCCAACAACUUUCCAGAUGGCACACCAAAUACGCAUUUUGCAGGAUUGAGCUUAAGAUUGUACCUGCAAAGCCUUUGGAAGAACUUUCUCAAAUAUCUGACAUGAUUAGACUGCUGUCUAGACUUUAGGAUUACAUCGUCCACAUAAACCUCGAUCUCCUUGUGUAUCAUGUUGUGGAAUAUGGUUGGCAUUGCCCUCAUGUAAGUUGCCCCAGCAUUCUUCAAAACGAAAGGCAUGACCCUAUAGCAGUAUGUUCCCCAUGGAGUGAUGAAUGCCGUCUUUUCUGCAUCUUCCUCAUCUAUUAGGAUCUGAUGAUAGCCCGCAUAACAAUCCACAAAAGACCCAAUCUCAUGUCUGACACAAUUAUCAAUCAAAAUGUGGAUGUUUGGCAAGGGGAAUUUAUCCUUUGGGCUUGCCUUGUUGAGAUCUCGAUAAUCAACACACACCCUAGUCUUACCAUUCUUCUUUGGUACAGGCACAACAUUGGCUAACCAAGUGGGAUAUCGCGUGACUCGAAUGACCUUUGCCUCAAACAGCUUUGUGACCUCCUCUUUAAUCUUUACACUCAUGUCUGUUUUAAACUUCCUCAACUUCUUCUUGACGGGAGGGAAUGUCGGGUCAGUGGGCAAUUUGUGAACCACAAAGUCAGUGCUUAAACCCAGCAUGUCGUCAUAUGACCAUGCAAAGACGUCUUUGUACUCAAGUAACGCUUUGAUUAUCUCUUCCUUGAGUUGUGGUUCAAGAUGGAUACUUAUCUUAGUUUCUCUGAUAUAAUCGGGGUCCCCUAAAUUGAUUGUUUCUGUAUCACUCAGGUUAGGCUUGAGUUUUUCUUCAAAAUGGCUUAAUUCUUCCAAUCUCUUCAAAGGCCUCAUUCUCAUUAAAUUCCGAUUCAUUAUCACACUCUAUUUCUUGAAUUACUAUUUCAGAAUUAGAUUGGCUUUUAAGACUGGGCCGAAGAUUCCUCAUUCAUGUCCUGUCAUUGAAACCAGCAUAAAAAGAACUGUACAAGGAAGAAAACAAAAAUAAAACUAUCAGGAAUGAAGAAAAGGGAAAUUGCAUUUUAUUGAAAUUGAAAGAUAACAAGGAUUAUACAUCCAAACGGACGGAAUAUAGAAUCUGAAUUACAACCCUGGAAUAAUCAAGAUAAACAUGAAAGAAAAUCAAAGCAAACUACCAAAACUCCUUCCUGGUAGGGAGAGGAGUAGUUUCCCAAUUGUUAAUCUUUGCAGUGGGCCCAACAAAUUGCGCAUCCACCUUGCUAGAACCCUCUCCAACUUCCACCAUGUUCACAUCAUCGAAUAACUUCUCGAACCUUUCAAUCAACUCUUUAUCAGGACCAACCAUAAAACCGGGAACUGUUGUUACUAGGCGUUUCUUGGUGCCAGGUCUGACAAAUGAUCUGGAGAGACAUGGGAUAGGCUUUGGGAGGACCCAUGCCCUCUGUUUCAACUUUCUGGCUCUAUUCACAUCUGCAACUGUGGUCUUGAAUCCCAAACCAAAUGUAUCCAAGUUUUUGGGGAGGGACACCGGCUGUACGAUACCUUGCAGAGAUGCACCCAAACCCUUGCCAGGUACAAAACCAUUUUUCAACAUUUCAACGGCUACCAUGACUGAUGCAGCAGCAACCCUCAGAGCUGGAACGCACUUUCCUUCUGGAAUUUUCUCUAUCGAUACCGUGUCAAAAACCUGAUAAACCCAUGGUACCUUGUCAUCUUCAACCUUAAUGAACGGAACAAUGACAUAACUGGGAACACACAAAUUAUCUUCGCCGUGCACAACAAUUUCAUGUCUAUCCCAUUCAAACUUGACCAUUUGAUGCAGAGAAGACGGGACUGCUUUGGCAGCAUGAAUCCAGGGUCGACCUAAUAGUAGAUUGUACGAAAUAGCCACAUCUAGCACCUGGAACUCCAUGGUAAAUUCAACUGGUCCUAUUGUCACCGGUUGAAUCUUUCCCUCCAUCGUCGAACCCCUAAACACAAAUACUAUUCUUGUGAAUUCUUUCAUCAUCCACUUUCAAUUUGUUCAGAGUGAAGAGAGGGCAAAUGUUGGCGCUGGAACCAUUGUCGAUCAAUACUCGAGUAACCACAAAAUCUUCACACUUCACCGUAAGAUAGAGGGCUCUAUUUUGCUCAGUGCCCUCCAUGGGCAACUCAUCAUCAGAAAAAGUGACUCUGUUUACCUCAAAUAUCUUGUUAGCUGUCUUUUGUGGUUUACUAAGAUUUUCUCAGGAACGUGGGCCUCAUUCAGGAUUUUCAUCAAGGCCCGAUGGUGCUCGUCCGAAUGGAUUAACAAUGACAACAAUGAAAUCUGAGCAGGUGUCUUCCUCAACUGUUCCACAGUGGAAUAGUCUUGCACUUUCAUCUUUUUCAAAAAUUCUUCUGCCUCUUCUUCGGUCACAGCUUUCUUCACUAGCACUGGGUCUUUUGAGGUUUUAGCUUUUCUUAACUCCUCGGGGGCAAAGCAUCUCCCCGACUGAGUCAAUCCAUGGGUCUCAUAGACUUCUUCUUUGACUUCUUUUCCUUUGUAAGUCACUGUCACCUGUUCAUAAUUCCAAGGGACAGCCUUGCUAUCGACUAUUGGUAACUGGGUUACAGGCUUGAUACUAACAGGAUCUGUGCGGGCACCUUCCACAACUAUGAGAGGCUUGUUCGCCACCCCUGGCACCACCACUUUUCUUUUUCUUGUUUCACUGCGAUGCCGCUUGAAGACCCCUUCUUGCCUACUGCAGAUGGUUCACUGUCUAUCCCUUUAAACUUGAUCACUGACUUCUCACUUGUUUACUUUUCUAUCGGCCUGAAUUCACUGGACCGAAUCAUCAUGACAGUUUGUGAAGGCUUCUGGGGCUCCCCUCCCCUAUGCACUAUCUCAAUCAUAUUUGUCUCAUGAUGGGCCGGCAACAGAUUCUGGUUGAUAUUAGGCGCCUCCGGAGCUUGGACCUCAAUCCGAUUAGUAUCAAUGAGCUCUUGAAUAGCUGUUUUCAAUUGUCAACAUUUCUCUGUGUUGUGCCCCAGAGCACCAGAACAAUAUUCGCAACUCACAAAGUGAUCAAGAUUCCUUGGGGGAGGAUUUGGCAGUUUUGGCUUGAUCAGACUCAGCAUACCCAAUUGUCUCAACCUGUGGAACAAACUGAUAUAGGAUUCUCCCAAUGGAGUGAAGGUUUUCUUCUUCUACAACCUCUCGUACUUAAAUGCUUGGUUGGGCCGAAAACCUGAUCCAAUAGGGUUUCAGUAGGCUCUUGGGGGUGGACAGGCAUUUUGUGGAGAUGGAUAUGUAUUUUGUGGGACUGGCACAUGCCAUUGUGCGUAGGCUAGAGGUUGGUUGUAUGUUUAGGCAUGGUGGACAGAAAAAUGGGGGUCUGGUGGUGAGUAGUAGUGUUAGGGUGGAUUAUACGGGGUGUGGGGGUAGUUUUGGUGGUAGGGACGAGGCUGAUGAUAGUGGUGAGGUGAACCCCUCGGCCCGAACCAAGAUCCUGACUCAACUGUUGCGACAUCCUCUUUCUUCUUCUUUCCAAUUACUCCCCCAGUUCCACUUAGAAUGGCUUGGGUGGUUGCCUUGAUCGCCGAAUAACACAUGAUUUUGUUUGUCUUGAGCCCUUCUUCUAGCAUACCGCCCAUUUUUACCACUUCAUUGAAGGACUUGCCUAUAGCCGAUACCAGAUGUCCGUAAUAAGUAGGCUCUAAGGCCUGCAGAAAAUAAUCCACCAUUUCACUUUCUUUCAUUGGAGGGUCAACCCUCGUUGCUUGCUCUCUCCAACAAAAACCGUACUCUUUGAAACUUUCAUUGUGCUAUUUCUCAAGUUUCAUCAAAGACAGACGAUCCGAAAUAAUCUCGAGAUUGUACUGGAAGUGACAAGCAAAUGUCUGGGCUAGAUCAUCCCAUGUGUACCAUCUUCCGUGAUCCUGCCGAGUAUACCAUUCCAGUGCUGAAUCACUCAGACUCUGACUGAAAUACGCCAUUAUCAGCUUGUCUUUCCCGACAGCUCCCCUUAUUUUGCUACAAAAACCUCUCAAAUGCGCCACUGGAUCACCGUGCCCAUCAUACAAAUCAAACUUGGGCAUCUUAAACCCUACCGACAAUUGCACAUCUGGAAACACACAUAUGUCUUUGUAGGCCACACUUACUUGACCUCCCAACCCCCGCAUGUCUCUGAAUGACUGUUCCAAGCUUUUAACUUUCCUGAACAUCUCCUCCUGUUCGGGAUUUUUAGAUGGUUUUUCGGUUUCCAUGGAGAGAUCAAAACGAUGAGUGUAGGAAUAGGGUUCUGGAGCCUUGAAAGUGGGCUCCGGGGGGUAAUAAUGGUUAUCAUGGGUUUGGAACAAAGGCUUGCUAGAGGAUCUGUGGAGUGUAGUGGGUUGGGGUGCCACGAAGACAGGAGUGGCUGGUGGAGGAGGGUAUGGAACUGGUUUGGGUGGUGGAGCUGGUGGUGUUUGGGAAGUGGUACUCUAGUAGGGCUGGUAAAUAGGAAAGCUCGGGGACGAAUCGGUAGCAGGAGGUUCCUGAGAUUGAGCCAAUGGCGGGAUAAAGGCAGGGUUGGCGGGGUAAGCUGGCGGUUGUUGCCCUUUUGCCCAUGCCUGGUACAUUUCGGCCAUCUGCCGUUUCAGCUUAUACAUCUCUUCUUUAAUCAAAUUAACCUCCGACUCUUCUACCUCUCUCGAAGGAUCGAUAACACUCGCAUCAAGUUCUUGAUUAGCCAUGAUCGUCUUGUUUUUGGACCGGGUGUUGUAUGGGAGAGUUGCCAGAAUGCCACACAAACUAACCACCUAUCUGUUACUUGACGACAAUAACAAACUUGUUAGCGAUCAAGGUUUAACAGACAGGAAACCGCACAUUUGGGGAAUGGAUGCACCUAAGCAGACUAUUAUGCAUUUGAUCGAUUGCUUGCGUCAUCCCGACUUUCCCUUAUUUCCAUUUGCAACCUCUCUUUUUCUCUUCCUUUUUUUUCUUUUCAUUCUUGCCUUUCUUUGCUUGAUUUCCCUUUGUUUUUUAUUCUCUCAUUUCUUGUUUUGCCAUUGUUUCCUUCUCACGGUUUCUUAUUUUCUCUCUCUUUUUUUUCUUUUUCUCUCUUGUUUUUUUUCCUCUUUUUUUUCUUUCUCUCUUUUCCUUUCUCUUUUUUUUGGUUAUGAUCAAAUCCUAUGGAGAUUGCCUACGUAUCAUAAUCCCGCAUGAAUCAGAUCUUUGUGUAGUUCUAGAGGAUAAGUGUAAAAAUAAAUAAUAAAACAUUUUGAGUUUUUUUCAAAUUUUUCAUAAAAAGAAAAUGCUUUGAUUACAACGACUCAAGAACUAACCGACUCAAAAAGGAAACUAACAGACUCCAACAACAAGAUGAAAAUACAGACUCGAAAACAAACUAACAGACUCCAACAGAAAGAAAAUAUAGACUCGAGUAAAAAUCAUGAAUACAUCAAUGCCUCAAAUGCUCCUGGGGCCCGCGGGACAUUAUUCUGUCUCGCCACGGACCUACGCGCUAAAUCCCCUUGGAGGUGGUAGAGAUCUUCCAUUAUCUGGCAAACAAAGGUCAUCGGAGUGGCAAAGAACAUGGAUCUAGUCAUGUCCUCACACUUACUGCAUUUCAUUGUGAUGUAGUCAGCGAUCCUUCUGACCCUUUCUCUUAUGACGCUUUUUUCUUGCAACAAACGCCCAAUCUGUUGGGACCUAACUUCCAAAGUUUGUUCAGAUAUGUGAUUCUGUUCUUGAAUUUGUUGCAGAUCUCCUUCUAACUGUGCCAUUGCUGCGUAACAGUGUUCCCUUUCUGCCUUACAGUCUUUUGCCUGCUUGAUCAUUUUGUUCUUAAAGAUGGUGACCCUUUUCUUCAACCCCACAACCUCAUUGUCAUAUUUCUCUUUUAACUGUUUAACCAAGCGCUCUCGUUCCUCCGCAUUUUUAGCCAACUUUGUUUGAGCCCUUGCUAAUCCCCCCCCCCCCCCCUUGUUCAAAUCGAAAUCAUACUCACUCACCUUCUGCCUAAGGUUCUUUAUAAGCUUUUCAUCUCUUGCACUUCUGGCGGGAUUUUCAGCUGCUAUUUUCAUUCCCCGAAUCUGAGCUUGAAGGGACUCAUUUUCUUUGGCUAAUUUUUUCUUUUCACCCUCGGCCUCUUGCACCUGUAGAUAAUUGUUGAAGGUGACAUUUCUCAACUCUUCUCGCAAAGCAUGAAUGCUGGCUUGGUAUUUCUUUUCCUUUUCCCCCAAGCUAAUCUUUCCUGCAUUUUAUCAUCGAAAGGCUUGAACAUGAGGCCUUUUGGUGGGCCUCUUGGGUUCGGGCUCGGGCUCCGGCUCAUUGUUCACAUAAAAAGUUCUUUCAAACCAAGCAGCAUAAUUGGGAUCAACUUCGCCCUUAGACGGCUCUGGUACCUGGGUGUCAUUUUUUAGAUACCGAUAGCCAUUCCAGUUCCUUUGAACUAAAGUCUCGGGUAGCUUUGCUUCUGGGUGUAAUUCGAUGACUUGGGUGCUUAGAUCUGCUUCUUAGGGUAUCACCUGAUAUCUUCCUAGUUGUCUCAAAACUCUUUGUGGUGCAUAUGGUUGUAUAUUUCUCACUCUCAUCAUCAUCAAGUAGCCCUUUGAAGCGGUCAUGUAUAUGACUUCUGUUACUGGAAGCCAUCAUAUGGUCUAUUCAAUUUGAUUUGCUCUCAAUUUUCUCAAAUAGGAAACCCAAGCUUCAAACCCUUCUGGCGGUUUGUAGUCUUCCACCCUUUCCUCAUACUUUUUGAUGAGAUUGUUCCUGUCCGAAGCAUAUCUCAUGACCUUAGGAUGACGGUGAAGGUGUUCGAUCAUCCACAUUUGAAGAAGAACCUGACAACCUUCAAAAAUUGAGCCCCAGAUUUUCAUAAGGUUAAUGCUCGGUAAAUGUCUGCCAGCACUAAUGGGACAAGUGUGUGAUCUAUUUUGUCGAUGAGGACCUGUGCGAUUCUGGCCAUAUGAACGUCUAUAGUGCCCUCCGCAUUCGGAAAGACCAUGACCCCUAAAAAUGCCACGAUGAAAGCAAACCGACGAUGGAUUUGCCAUAUGCUCUUGUCUUGUCUAUUACUCAACCCCUUUUCAUGUGUUUCAAACCCGGCUGAGUGCCCAAACCUGUAAUACAUGAAGUAGAAAGAACAACGCCCUUUACUCACGUGGGCCUUGUUCAUUUAUUUGCUGAUAUUCAGAAGAUCGAAGAACUUGUGCACCGAGGGAGCCCUGAGGAAUAUGAGUUGCUGCUUUCUUAACUCUUGGCCAAAAUCAAUAUACCCGGAUAUUUAUUCUAAAGUGGGGGUGAGCUCAAAAUCUGAGAAACGGAACACAUUGUGGGCGGGAUCCCAAAAGGCUACCAAGGCUUCGAUUAAAUCCUCCCGGGGUUUGAUGUGCAUGAUGUCUAUCUGAGAGCCCAACUGUUCUUUCACCCAACCUUGGCCAUCUUCAUCUAAAUCAUCCCACCACCUGCGAAGCUGCAACCGAGCCCGUUCUAUGAUAGAUUGCAAUGAUUCCUGGACAAUAUUCAUUUGUACCAGCGGAGGGUUGAGGUUAGGGUUGACUCUUGUGGACUCUUUGCAAAAUAAGUUUUCUAAAGAAAAUCAACGGAAAAAGACCCCUUUCAUUGCUACUUUAGGAAAAAAUGAUCGUUUUUGCAAACAUGGCCCCUUCACAAUUCCAAACAAAUUUUGAGGCCAGGGGGUAAGUAUUUAGUUGAGAAAGACACCUUUUAAACAGACUUGCAUGUCCCUCCCAAAAAUAACCUUUUGACAAUUGAAAUAUAAUCUAAGGUUAUUCCUGUAAUAAAUGACUUAAAAUACAACCGAAGCUGGGUCGGCUUAUUAUUUUGACCAAAGCCCUGAAACACCCUUUAUUUAUUAUUUGUAAAAAUGAGGCCGAACCUUAUGUGGGUUGCCUACAUAUCCCACGUCCGGUGAGAAUCAUACCUGCGUAGUUCGGUUAGUGUUGACACAUUUGAAAAGGACACAGUGUUUGACUCUUUUGAAAUAACUCUCUUUCCUUUUUUUUUGAAAACUUUCGGCAGAGUUUUGGGAUGCUUUCGAAUACAGGGUUUUUUUAGAACCGGGCUUUAUUUCCUUCCCUAUAUCACUCUUGGUUUUUCUUCUGCUUUAUUUUCCUAGACAAUCAGCAUACAAGCCGAAAUAAAUAAAUGUUCACAUAGCACGUAGAAUGCAUCAGGAUGGUCUGUUUAUUUUGGGCACACAUGUCCUAGACGGAUUCAACCCCUGUGUUGAGCCCCCUAAGUCAAAUUCACGUGAUGAAAAUAAGCGUUCCUACUAGGGAUCCGACAUGAAGUUGUGUUUUUCUAGGUUUAAAUCCUGGGGUUUUUUUCUAGACUUGGGGGUACCCGAGCGGACAACUGGGGCCGAAGAGGGGGCGACGUACCAGGAUCACUGAAGUCUACCCGGCCUUGUCGCUUGCCCAGCCUUGUUCUAUUUGGUAUGAUUUCUACAAAAAAAGCGGGACAUGCGAAUGUGUGCACCAUUUUCAGAAGACUCAGAGGGGCGGUGUAAAAAGAUAGUUAUAUAUAAUUCAAACAAUAUCAAAGCGGUAAAUAGGCAGCAAUUAGCACAAAAAGUUCACAAAAUACAGUAAUAUCAACAAUAAACAAAUCCAAGCAAAAUCAUAUUAACAAGCUCGAAUUCUUGAACCCUGAACCAGAGAUUCUGGGUUCGAUCCCCAGCAGAGUCGCCAGAGCCGUCACACCUCCUUUUUACUACCCCCGAAAGGGGCAUAAUGGAGUUUUCCAAUUUACGUGACAAUCGAAACGAGAUUAUUUAUAUAAAAUUCAGAGUCGCCACUUGGGAUAAUUUGUGGUGUCCCAAGUCACCGGUUUAAAAUUCUGAAUCGAGGAAGAUUUGACUUUGUUCAUGUCUGUGAAACACAUAAAUCCGGGUAAGGAAUUCUGUUAACCCGGGAGAAGGUGUUAGGCACUCCCGAAUUCUGUGGUUCUAUCACGGUCACUUUGAUCAUAUUUGGCUUAUUAAAAUUAUUUAAUUACUGAUUUUAGAACCUAUGUGCAUUUACCUUUCACCUCUUUUUAAUUAAGAGUAUUAUUUUGAAAUGGGUCACGCGUACGUGUACCCAUUUGUUUGGCACGUCAAAAUCAUGUCACGUGAACGUGUCCACAAUUAAUAACUCUUUGGUAUUAAAAGAAAUUUGACCAAAGUUGCACGAACGCAUACUCCAGUUUUAUUUUUAGAAAUCGUAAUCAUGUCACGCGAACGUGUCCACAAUCACGAUAGUAUAUUAAACGGCCCUAAAGGCUUUUCUACGAAUAUGCAUUAAUUACUUAUUCUUAAACUAUUUGAAAUUAUUAAGGGAGGUGAUGUGAAUUAACGGAUAAUAAAUUCAUGUGAAAGAGGGUAGUAAAUUAGUCAUAAAAAAUGGCUAUCGAUUCUUCUUAGGUCGGGUUAAACUCUUCGACCCUAAUCCUUAACUCAAAAUUGUUUCAAAACUCAUUCACUUUUAAAUUCUUCAUUUAGUGUGUUGAAUCCAGCCCAAUUCUAAAGUAUAAGAACAAUUAAUUACGUAGGCAAUCUGAAGAACAUAUUACAAAGUUUGCUUUCGGAUACUUUGCCUAUUUACACUGCCUUUAAAAAAACGGAUAGAAAAAGAAAUCAGAUUUUUCUUUCAAUUUAAAUUACAGAUUCUUCAGUAGUAUGCCAACUCAUUAAAACACAUGAUUUGUAGAAAUAACCUUUAAAAGAUUUGUGAUGACUUUUGAAUACUUAAGUGCCUACUCAUAUAAAAGGAAAGAAAAGUACACAAAUUUUGUUUACCUUUAACAAAGUGCUUCAAGAAUUCAACAGAAGAUCAGAUUCAAAGAGAAAUAAUAAUAAUAAUAAUAAAAAUAAUAAUACUAAUAAUACUAAUAAUAAUAAUAAUAAUAAUAAUAAAUAAAUAAAUAAAAAGUUAACCAUAGAAUGCAUAUUAAACUUACUCAAAAGCUAAACAAUCUAACAUAAGAGAUUAAAUUAAAACCAAACAACCACAAUCAUGAAAGCUAACUGUCAAGAGGAAAAUAAACUACAACUAUCAUUAUUAAUCCAUAUUAAUGUUUUUAGGAUAAGAACAGAAGAAGAAAAUAAACCUGUUAAAGCAAAAUCCCUUUGAUAAGAACAAAACUAGUAGUCAGUUACAAAAUUUUGACCCCAAAAUUCGACCGAGAAAACAACAACAAUAAGCGACCAGGAAUCACGAACCCACAAACAGCAGCGAACGCAACAACCUUUCAAACGAGCUCCAUUUUUUCCCAGAAAUCCAAGACGAGAAGAAGAGAAUGAAAAUCUAUAUAUUUUUUGAGCUUUUAAACAAUAAUAAAAACCAUAUCAAAGAAGAACACUCAACAUUUUAUGUGCAUCUAUCUGAAUCUGAAAACAGAGAGAAGAAAAUCAAAAUAAACUCUUCAAGUCCUAGCAGUCCUUCCAGAUUUUUCCGGAAAAAAAAUCCCCCACCCCCUUCUGAAUAUAUCAUCUCCUUUAUAUAGGGCCUCAGGCUUCUCGAACCUUCUCCCUUUCUCCCCAAGAUAUCCCUCCAAAAAUAUCUCCCCCCAAAUCUGAAAUUUUACCCUCCCUAUGAUGAAAAACGGACAAAUGGAGGGAGUGGAUCAAAUCGAAUCCAAUCCAACGCUCCCCAUUUUUACAUGUGUUUAUCUGAAAGGUUAAAAAUCCGAAAUAAAUCAAGAAAAUGGCAUGUGGGGAGAGGAAUUUUGUCAGAAGCGGUUAGAAUCUUGAUGACGUGGUACAGAGGGACCUGUGUGAGUGAACUCGCCUGAGUUUUCAGGCGAGUUAGGGUUGAAUCAGUUUGGAGAAGAAGAACAAUAGACGGGCGCCGCAAAUGAGGAGUCUUGUGUUUUGGGGUUU